AACGAACGCUGGCGGCGUGCUUAACACAUGCAAGUCGAACGAGAAAUUCCCCGCUUGCGGGGGGAGAGUAAAGUGGCGCACGGGUGAGUAGCGCGUGGGUAACCUACCCCUGAAUUCGGGAUAACUUCGCGAAAGCGUUGCUAAUACCGGAUAUUGUCAUCUUAGCUAUGGCUGAGAUGAUGAAAGGUGACCUCUUCAUGAAAGUUGCCGUUUAGGGACGGGCCCGCGUACCAUUAGCUUGUUGGUGAGGUAACGGCCCACCAAGGCUAUGAUGGUUAGCUGGUCUGAGAGGAUGAUCAGCCACACUGGAACUGGAACACGGUCCAGACUCCUACGGGAGGCAG
RNAcentral lists this ribosomal RNA (344 nucleotides) under uncultured Pseudomonadota bacterium. Its description in RNAcentral is "bacterial SSU rRNA". It matches the Rfam family "Bacterial small subunit ribosomal RNA", at positions 29 to 351 of the family's 1533-position model. The record is from RNAcentral. Lineage: Bacteria; Pseudomonadati; Pseudomonadota.